This 497-nucleotide ribosomal RNA is filed under the name uncultured bacterium. Its description in RNAcentral is "partial 16S ribosomal RNA". It matches the Rfam family "Bacterial small subunit ribosomal RNA", at positions 28 to 507 of the family's 1533-position model. The record is from RNAcentral.
GACGAACGCUGGCGGCGUGCCUAAUACAUGCAAGUUGAGCGCUGAAGGUUGGUACUUGUACCAACUGGAUGAGCAGCGAACGGGUGAGUAACGCGUGGGGAAUCUGCCUUUGAGCGGGGGACAACAUUUGGAAACGAAUGCUAAUACCGCAUAAAAACUUUAAACACAAGUUUUAAGUUUGAAAGAUGCAAUUGCAUCACUCAAAGAUGAUCCCGCGUUGUAUUAGCUAGUUGGUGAGGUAAAGGCUCACCAAGGCGAUGAUACAUAGCCGACCUGAGAGGGUGAUCGGCCACAUUGGGACUGAGACACGGCCCAAACUCCUACGGGAGGCAGCAGUAGGGAAUCUUCGGCAAUGGACGAAAGUCUGACCGAGCAACGCCGCGUGAGUGAAGAAGGUUUUCGGAUCGUAAAACCCUGUUGGUAGAGAAGAACGUUGGUGAGAGUGGAAAGCUCAUCAAGUGACGGUAACUACACAGAAAGGGACGGCUAACUACGUG